GCCGGGUGUGGGUGACGCACACCUGUCAUCCCAGCAGCUCGGGAGGCUGAGGCAGGAGGAUCGUGAGCUCAAAGCAGCCUCAGCCAAAGGGAGGCCCUAAGCAACUUAGGGAGACCCUGAUUCUC
Molecule: small RNA, 125 nt
Filed under: Marmota monax (woodchuck)
Lineage: Eukaryota; Metazoa; Chordata; Mammalia; Rodentia; Sciuridae
Source: RNAcentral